GGGAUUCCGAGUAAGAGAAUGCGGAGCACAUAUCUACACCUAUUUAUGGCUCUAGGUAUAUUUUUAGACCCGUUCGAGGAUGAACACUUGUUUAAGACGGGAAGGAUGUAACGACUUAGCCGGUUUUUUCAGAGUUAUAGCCAUGUCCCCCUAUUUCCUGCCUCUCUUGUGUUCUACAAGUGUAUUAUGAUUUAAGCGAUUAGUUGGUUUGGGUCCAGAGUAGUUUUGGGGUGAAUUGAGA
RNAcentral lists this long non-coding RNA (241 nucleotides) under Nicotiana benthamiana. RNAcentral's name for it is "long non-coding RNA (NBEN_LNC040218)". Lineage: Eukaryota; Viridiplantae; Streptophyta; Magnoliopsida; Solanales; Solanaceae. The record is from RNAcentral.